AUUGAACGCUGGCGGCAGGCUUAACACAUGCAAGUCGAGCGGGGUGAUGGUGCUUGCACUAUCACUUAGCGGCGGACGGGUGAGUAAUGCUUAGGAAUCUGCCUAUUAGUGGGGGACAACAUCUCGAAAGGGAUGCUAAUACCGCAUACGUCCUACGGGAGAAAGCAGGGGAUCACUUGUGACCUUGCGCUAAUAGAUGAGCCUAAGUCGGGUUAGCUAGUUGGUGGGGUAAAGGCCUACCAAGGCGACGAUCUGUAGCGGGUCUGAGAGGAUGAUCCGCCACACUGGGACGGAGACACGGACCAGACUCCUACGGGAGGCAGCAGUGGGGAAUAUUGGACAAUGGGGGGAACCCUGAUCCAGCCAUGCCGCGUGUGUGAAGAAGGCCUUAUGGUUGUAAAGCACUUUAAGCGAGGAGGAGGCUCUUUUGGUUAAUACCCAAGAUGAGUGGACGUUACUCGCAGAAUAAGCACCGGCUAACUCUGUGCCAGCCGCCGCAGUAA
RNAcentral lists this ribosomal RNA (503 nucleotides) under uncultured bacterium. RNAcentral's name for it is "partial 16S ribosomal RNA". It matches the Rfam family "Bacterial small subunit ribosomal RNA", at positions 30 to 523 of the family's 1533-position model. The record is from RNAcentral.